RNAcentral lists this long non-coding RNA (2802 nucleotides) under Nicotiana benthamiana. RNAcentral describes it as "long non-coding RNA (NBEN_LNC028070)". The record is from RNAcentral. Lineage: Eukaryota; Viridiplantae; Streptophyta; Magnoliopsida; Solanales; Solanaceae.
AAUAAAAUUUUCGGAAUUUCGUGUAUAACCCUAAAAAACAUGUAUCUCUUCCUCGUACAACCUUCCUCUCAAAAUGCCUCCGCCAUCAGUCGACACCGGAGAAAAUGUCACCAUCUCCGGUGACUCUGAAAUUUACACCUUGAAACCGCCUCAAUGCCCUUAUCACAAAUAUCAUAUUAUCAUCUCUUGAAUCUUACUGGAGGGCAUCGAAUAAUUGAAAGGGUUGCCACUGUCUCCGCUGUCCACGGCAGCGACGCCUCCCAAACUGGCCAAAAUUCACACCACAAAUCCGCUCCCGUCUCCUCAUCAUUAAUCCAUCAACAACUGGCCUCAAGUCGUGACUGAAAUCCUCGAAAGUGCAAAAUCAAUAACGGUCAAGAACCCUAGUCGUUCUAGUGGUUUCAAAAGAACAUGCCAAGGUCGCCUUGCCUCCCUCAUAUGAAAUCCAAGGUCAAUCGCGCUCGAACGUCGUCGGAAUUGCUCGGGUGAUUAAAUUGAUAAGCGUCAGAACUUCAAGUCAUAAUAGUGAGUUCUGCUUAAUUUUAACUUAUGUUUCUUUCAUCAUCCUCUCAUGUUUCGGAAUUUGGUUCGUGUUGAUGAUCCUUUAUUAAUAGAUUGUACAAAUGUUAAUUUUGUCAUUAAUUUUGUUCAAAUAUUUAGGGCCCAGCUUGGAUUGUUCAUUUUAUUGAAAUUAAUUUACUUCUUGCUAUUGAUAUUUUUCUGUCGUUCCAUUUUGAUUUUGUGAAGUUCUAAUUGUUUGGUGAUUAAUUUUUAGCUGAUUAUUUGUGGUUGGGUUUUGGGUACGUUAUUGAUCUGCUCUGCAUUUAGUUUAAGCCAUGUUAAUUAGACGAUUGCUUAAAUACCUUAAUUUGCUGAACUUUAGCAUAAUAUCUAUUUAGGUUGUAAUUGACUUUUGAUUAAGGGGUUGUAUCAGUUACCGAGUGGUAAUUCCAGGUUGAAAACAGGGGUAGUUUGGGCAUUGAAAAUGUCAAUUUGUUAAGUCAUGUUAAUAUUAGUUGAACACGAGGGGUAAUUGGGGUAAUUCAAAAGUAUGGUAUGUUUUAAUAUCUGAAUGGAGUCCUCUAGGAACAUUCUAGACGGGGUUCACUUUAGAAUUUUAAUAAGUUCGGUGGUAUAACUUGGGAAACAAGUCAGUCUUCUAGGGAUACUUAAGCAAAAACAAAAAUUAGAAAAGGAAGUAAGGCAAAAUAGAAAAUUAGAUGGCUGCCCUCAUUUGUGCAUAUAAAAGGGCACCCCCUUUACUUCAUUCACAAGUUUUGACAACCUUAAAAACUUCCCCAAAAUACUCCCCAAAGCUUCUUGAUCUGGAAUUGAAACUUCAGAUCUGAAAUUCUCUCAGAUUUUAACUUCUUCAAAGGGAAAAACCAAAAAUAAUAGAAAAAUGACUGAAAAUAAAAAAAAAACAAAUACUGUUUUUAUUUAAUUUCUGAGGUUAAAAAUUCAAGUUUAGUGGUUGAUUUGCAUUCUUAGCUCGAUGUCAGGUAAUUGAAUUUCAAAAGUGUUUCUAGUUGGUUUUUCAAGUGGAUUCUGGGUUCAGUCAAUCUAUUUUGGGACUAGUUUUGUUGAUUUUCGAGAUCUAGGUUGUUUCUGGUUGUUUGAGAGUUCGUAUGUGAUUUGAAAAUGGUUCCUGAUGUUUGUGCUGGUUGAUUGUCAAAUUAUUCCUGAAUUACUGUCAUUUUUGUUCAGUAUCUAGUAAUUGAAGUCCUGAAAUCAUUUUGAUUUUGUAUUUGGAUCGUAUUGGGAUCUAUUUGAGUUAUUGUUGUUUGUUUCUAUUGCUGAGACUGAUUUGGAUCACCUGGGUUCAACUUUGAGUCUAUUUGAUGGGUUCAAGUGGUUUGUGAUUGUAUUUUCCUGAUUAUGUCCUACUCCUAAUUUAUUAGGUUGUCAAACAUAUUUAUGGGCUAAAACUGGUGAAGUUGGUGUUAUUUGGACUCUAGUUAAUUGUGUUGUGUACUACUACUGCUAAUCUCUCCUUCCUUCUGUUCCUUUCCAAUUUCUAGGUACACAUUAGAAACACCAGCUGAUGUAAUUUGUGAAACGAGAUGCCGAAAUAAAAUGUUACUUAGAAAUUUUGUAUUCUUAAUUUGCAGUAGUAGAGUAAUUCUCAGAAAAAAAUAGUUUCAUUUCAAUUUCUGUUUACCUGUAUAAUUAGAUUGAAAUUUAACUGUGAUGGGACUGUCAGGUUAUAAAUUUGUGAGUGUUGAAUUCAUUCUUGUGAGCUUAUGAAAUUUUUAGUUAGCUUGGUGUUGCUAAUAAGGUAUAUUGUAAUAGCCUAAGUUUUCUUCAAUAAUUACAGAAAAAAAUUCAAAUGGCUCUACAUCUCAGUGUGUUAGUUUCAAUGUUUAAUAGACUGCUUUGGAUUGUCAAUUGGUUUGUUAAUUUCAGUCCAUGCCUCUAGUUGUUUUGUUGUUACUCUUAAUAAUAUCCAGUAACCUGUCAGUUGAAAGUGUAGCGAGUCAACACACAAAUGAUGUGAGUUCAUGAUACUUGAUUUGUACAGUAGUCUGAUAAAAAUUUAGAGUUCAAGUUCGUUGGUUUUAAUUUGUUUAAGUUUUUUGUAAGAUUUAAUCUCUGAAAAUAAAAGGCCACAAUGCUAGGCAAGUUAUAAGUAAUUUAACUUCACUAAUAUCAUUGGCUAAUCAAUAAGGAUCAAUUAAAGUUUCAAGAAAUUGAAAGUGAGUUACUAUUAUUUUGAUCUUGAGCCCAGGGAAAUCGUGCAUUUUGGUAUAAUUACUAGGAAUCAGUGGUUUGGACUUUUGUGUCAGUUGGGAUUCGAUCCUU